MicroRNA precursor from Trichomalopsis sarcophagae, 90 nucleotides. The record is from Rfam. NCBI's taxonomy places the organism in Eukaryota, Metazoa, Arthropoda, Insecta, Hymenoptera, Pteromalidae.
CCUCGGUUGUCGGUAACGAGUAUAAAGUCUAGUUCACGUUGACGUUGGAUAUCGUGACUAGAUUUUUAUACUCGUUACCAACAACCGAUG